UUGAUCUUUCAAAUCCACCUUGAGAGGGAUUGUUGUGGGAUUGAAGCCUCCCCAUCCUUGUUGGUUUACACCUUAUACUUUUCAUCUCCAUAGUGAAGUUCCGUGCUCGCCGCCGUCCGUGGUUUUUCUCCGCAAGGGGUUUUCACAUAAAUCUCUGUGUCUCCCCUUGAUUUGGUGAUGCCCUUGCUAUAUGUGUUGUUGUUCAUCAUCUCUAUUUGCUAUUGGCAUCUAUUGCUUAAGUUUGAUGCUAUUUAGUUGAGUUGAUACUUGAAGCAAGUCAUACUUGUGUGCUUUGUUAUAUGGAUGAUUCUAUUGGGGUAUUGAUGUUCUAGUAAGCUAUCAUUGCAGCUGUUAAUCUUGUGUGCAGGUUUGAGAACUCGGUGUACUUGAUAUACCGGUUCAGAUUUGUUCUAUGCACAAAAAGUGUUUGUUGAAAUGGUUACGAGGAACAGGUUGCUGUUUUGAAGGUGAUCAAGGUGGGAGUGUCAGUAAGCCCGACAGAACUGACCAAUAGGAAGCAUAUGAUCAACACCUCGCUGUAUCUCUCUUUUUAUAUAUUGACGGUAGACUUGAAACUAGAACAAAUAUACUCCUCUUACCGGGUGGGUCCGGAUCUGGACUUGUCAGACCCGUCCGGCCAAAAAAUUUACCAAUUACAGACCUGCGGGUAAUAGUUUUUGCCUAACCCGUAUGCUAAUCGGUCCAGACCGGUCAGGUAUUCGGGUAUCGGGUACCCAUUGCCAUCCAUAUAUAAUCAUAAAAUCUCAAGAAAGAGAACCAACCAUAGGUUGGAUGGUUCGAGUAAUUAAAAAAAGGAUUGAAUGAUUCUACAGAUAUUACGCUCUCUGUAUCUCAUUUCAGAUGGAUUUCGAGGCUUCGUCUGGUCAGCUGAAACCCAAUUAAAGCUUGAACCCUAGAUUUGACGAUCUGUGUGUGGCAUUUUAGAUAGAUUUCUUUGUGAUAGGUGACUUCUCCAACCGACAGCCAACUGUACAAGUCAAAUGGCUCCAACUGUAUAAUCAUAGGCGGAGACAAGCCCCAGGCAAGGGGGCCACGGCCUGGGGCUUGAACCUUCUUUUCUUUGGUAAAUUGUGACAAUUUGAAGUUUGGCCUGGAUCUUUCCCUCCUUAAUUGCUUUUUCUUAGUCAAAUACACUACGAUGGCUCUGCUCUAAGCUAGUUCCUGGCUCUGCCGCCAUGUACAAUUAGAGGUAACAGCAGAAAGUAAUUACA
Long non-coding RNA from Brachypodium distachyon (stiff brome), 1232 nucleotides. RefSeq lists it as uncharacterized. The transcript has 3 exons. The record is from RefSeq and is a predicted model, not a curated record. Lineage: Eukaryota; Viridiplantae; Streptophyta; Magnoliopsida; Poales; Poaceae.